RNAcentral lists this ribosomal RNA (500 nucleotides) under uncultured bacterium. Its description in RNAcentral is "partial 16S ribosomal RNA". It matches the Rfam family "Bacterial small subunit ribosomal RNA", at positions 30 to 523 of the family's 1533-position model. The record is from RNAcentral.
AUUGAACGCUGGCGGAAUGCUUUACACAUGCAAGUCGAACGGCAGCACGGACUUCGGUCUGGUGGCGAGUGGCGAACGGGUGAGUAAUGUAUCGGAACGUGCCCAGUCGUGGGGGAUAACGUAGUGAAAAUUACGCUAAUACCGCAUACGAUCUAUGGAUGAAAGCGGGGGAUCGCAAGACCUCGCGCGAUUGGAGCGGCCGAUAUCAGAUUAGGUAGUUGGUGGGGUAAAGGCCCACCAAGCCAACGAUCUGUAGCUGGUCUGAGAGGACGACCAGCCACACUGGAACUGAGACACGGUCCAGACUCCUACGGGAGGCAGAAGUGGGGAAUUUUGGACAAUGGGCGAAAGCCUGAUCCAGCCAUUCGGCGUGCAGGAUGAAGGCCCUCGGGUUGUAAACUGCUUUUGUACAGAACGAAAAGGUUUCUACUAAUACUAGGAGCUCAUGACGGUACUGUAAGAAUAAGCACCGGCUAACUCUGUGCCAGCCGCCGCAGUAA